GCUCGUCUCCGAGACUAAGCCAUGCAAGUCCAAGUACACGUCCUUGAACGACGGAAACUGCGAACGGCUCAUUAAAUCAGUUGCGAUCUACUCGGCGUUCCGCGCCGCCGGAUAACCGUAGUAAUUCUAGGGCUAAUACGUGCGAAGCGCCCGAAGCCGCGAGGCGACGGGCGUUCUCGCCGGAUGUAGGAACCGACCCCGGGGACCGCCCGGGGGCAACCCCGGCGCCCCCCGAGACGGGGCGAACCACGGUGAAAUGACGGAUCGUCGGCCCCGCGCCGGCGACUCGCCGAAUGAGUUUCUGACCUAUCAACUCGAGACGGCGGGGUAGAGGCCCGCCGCGGUAACGACGGGUAACGGGGAAUCAGGGUUCGAUUCCGGAGAGGGAGCCCGAGAAACGGCUACCACUUCCAAGGAAGGCAGCAGGCGC
RNAcentral lists this ribosomal RNA (430 nucleotides) under uncultured eukaryote. RNAcentral describes it as "bacterial SSU rRNA". It matches the Rfam family "Eukaryotic small subunit ribosomal RNA", at positions 30 to 435 of the family's 1831-position model. The record is from RNAcentral.